Molecule: ribosomal RNA, 417 nt
Filed under: uncultured marine archaeon
Lineage: Archaea
Description: bacterial SSU rRNA
Rfam family: Archaeal small subunit ribosomal RNA
Source: RNAcentral
CUAGAAACACUAACGAAUAAGGGGUGGGCAAGUUCUGGUGUCAGCCGCCGCGGUAAAACCAGCACCUCAAGUGGUCAGGAUGAUUAUUGGGCCUAAAGCAUCCGUAGCCGGCUCUGUAAGUUUUCGGUUAAAUCUGUACGCUUAACGUACAGGCUGCCGGGAAUACUGCAAAGCUAGGGAGUGGGAGAGGUAGACGGUACUCGGUAGGAAGUGGUAAAAUGCUUUGAUCUAUCGAUGACCACCUGUGGCGAAGGCGGUCUACCAGAACACGUCCGACGGUGAGGGAUGAAAGCUGGGGGAGCAAACCGGAUUAGAUACCCGGGUAGUCCCAGCUGUAAACUAUGCAAACUCAGUGAUGCAUUGGCUUGUGGCCAAUGCAGUGCUGCAGGGAAGCCGUUAAGUUGCCGCCUGGGAAGU